CAUAGCUCUAGGCACCAAUGAGAUCCUGAACCCAUCCCCCCACUCAACUGCUGCACAACCCUUGAGGCAUCUAAAUUCCCUAGGUACUUGAGUUCCUGCCACUGAGCUUGCACAAAACUGCCAAAGUCCUGAUGUUGCUGAUAUGCUUAGAGCCAGGUCUUGCACAUCCUUGGAAGAAGAGAAUUGGACCCAUUGUAUUCUGCAGAAUGCAGGAGCCUAAAACCUAAGGCUUGUCUACAUGAACCUGCAGUUGGGACUACUGGGGCAUGCACCAGAGGGCUGCACUAUAAUUGCCCUGGAUGGACACAGCUGGCACAAACUAAAAGGCCAUCUAUCUUUGUGCCUCACACCAGCUGAUAAGGGAUCAUCCACAGGGCCGGCUUUAUGAACUCUGGGGCUCAAUUCGAAUACCCGGCGGCGGUCCGGGGCUUCAACAGCACUUCGGCGGUGGGGGGUCCGCUCCAGGUCUUCCGCAGCACCAAACGACCCCCACACCACCAAAAUGAGACAUCCGGUCACCCUAUGCUACAGCCAGAGUAUGUGUUUAAGAGCCAGGCUGCUUCCUGCAUCUUCAGUGUCCCGCCUGGCUUAGCUGAUGUGGAGAGACCAUUUUCGAAAUUCAGCUACAUCCAAGACUGCAGGAGAACAAGCCUUGGAAAAAACAUUUUGAAAAAACUGCUCCAAGCCUACGUUACCCAGGACAUUUGGAAUUUACACUGAAGCCCCUACAUCAAGCAU
This is a long non-coding RNA of Mauremys mutica (yellowpond turtle), 738 nucleotides long. RefSeq lists it as uncharacterized. The transcript has 4 exons. The record is from RefSeq and is a predicted model, not a curated record. NCBI's taxonomy places the organism in Eukaryota, Metazoa, Chordata, Testudines, Geoemydidae.